RNAcentral lists this non-coding RNA (172 nucleotides) under Aeromonas molluscorum. RNAcentral describes it as "Lysine sequence". It matches the Rfam family "Lysine riboswitch aptamer". From Rfam's summary of the family: Riboswitches are metabolite binding domains within certain messenger RNAs that serve as precision sensors for their corresponding targets. Allosteric rearrangement of mRNA structure is mediated by ligand binding, and this results in modulation of gene expression. This family includes riboswitches that sense lysine in a number of genes involved in lysine metabolism, including lysC. The record is from RNAcentral. Lineage: Bacteria; Pseudomonadati; Pseudomonadota; Gammaproteobacteria; Aeromonadales; Aeromonadaceae.
CUUUUAAGUAGAGGCGCGCUGCCUAUAACUACUCAUGCGGAGGGUGAUGCCUGUGAAGCAUGAGGAAAGGAGCCAGCGCCGAAGUGAUCAUGCCAUCAUGCAGGGUCGCUGGGAUUGCAUCGAACAGGUGCAGUACUGCCAUAGUCAAUCACUAUGGAGCGCUACUGAAGGG